RNAcentral lists this ribosomal RNA (1003 nucleotides) under Klebsiella pneumoniae. RNAcentral's name for it is "partial 23S ribosomal RNA". It matches the Rfam family "Bacterial large subunit ribosomal RNA", at positions 762 to 1765 of the family's 2925-position model. Lineage: Bacteria; Pseudomonadati; Pseudomonadota; Gammaproteobacteria; Enterobacterales; Enterobacteriaceae. The record is from RNAcentral.
CUAACUGGAGGACCGAACCGACUAAUGUUGAAAAAUUAGCGGAUGACUUGUGGCUGGGGGUGAAAGGCCAAUCAAACCGGGAGAUAGCUGGUUCUCCCCGAAAGCUAUUUAGGUAGCGCCUCGUGAACUCAUCUUCGGGGGUAGAGCACUGUUUCGGCUAGGGGGUCAUCCCGACUUACCAACCCGAUGCAAACUACGAAUACCGAAGAAUGUUAUCACGGGAGACACACGGCGGGUGCUAACGUCCGUCGUGAAGAGGGAAACAACCCAGACCGCCAGCUAAGGUCCCAAAGUCAUGGUUAAGUGGGAAACGAUGUGGGAAGGCACAGACAGCCAGGAUGUUGGCUUAGAAGCAGCCAUCAUUUAAAGAAAGCGUAAUAGCUCACUGGUCGAGUCGGCCUGCGCGGAAGAUGUAACGGGGCUAAACCAUGCACCGAAGCUGCGGCAGCGACACUAUGUGUUGUUGGGUAGGGGAGCGUUCUGUAAGCCUGCGAAGGUGUGCUGUGAGGCAUGCUGGAGGUAUCAGAAGUGCGAAUGCUGACAUAAGUAACGAUAAAGCGGGUGAAAAGCCCGCUCGCCGGAAGACCAAGGGUUCCUGUCCAACGUUAAUCGGGGCAGGGUGAGUCGACCCCUAAGGCGAGGCCGAAAGGCGUAGUCGAUGGGAAACAGGUUAAUAUUCCUGUACUUGGUGUUACUGCGAAGGGGGGACGGAGAAGGCUAUGUUAGCCGGGCGACGGUUGUCCCGGUUUAAGCAUGUAGGCUGGUUGUCCAGGCAAAUCCGGAUAAUCAAGGCUGAGGUGUGAUGACGAGGCACUACGGUGCUGAAGUAACAAAUGCCCUGCUUCCAGGAAAAGCCUCUAAGCAUCAGGUAACAUUAAAUCGUACCCCAAACCGACACAGGUGGUCAGGUAGAGAAUACCAAGGCGCUUGAGAGAACUCGGGUGAAGGAACUAGGCAAAAUGGUGCCGUAACUUCGGGAGAAGGCACGCUGGUGUGUAGGUGA